UGCUACAAUGGACAAUACAAAGGGCAGCGAAACCGUGAGGUCAAGCAAAUCCCAUAAAGUUGUUCUCAGUUCGGAUUGUAGUCUGCAACUCGACUACAUGAAGCUGGAAUCGCUAGUAAUCGUAGAUCAGCAUGCUACGGUGAAUACGUUCCCGGGUCUUGUACACACCGCCCGUCACACCACGAGAGUUUGUAACACCCGAAGCCGGUGGAGUAACCUUUUAGGAGCUAGCCGUCGAAGGUGGGACAAAUGAUUGGGGUGAAGUCGUAACAAGGUAGCCGUAUCGGAAGGUGCGGCUGGAUCACCUCCUUU
This 312-nucleotide ribosomal RNA is filed under the name Staphylococcus aureus. Its description in RNAcentral is "partial 16S ribosomal RNA". It matches the Rfam family "Bacterial small subunit ribosomal RNA", at positions 1223 to 1533 of the family's 1533-position model. The record is from RNAcentral. Lineage: Bacteria; Bacillati; Bacillota; Bacilli; Caryophanales; Staphylococcaceae.